This 478-nucleotide ribosomal RNA is filed under the name uncultured bacterium. RNAcentral describes it as "partial 16S ribosomal RNA". It matches the Rfam family "Bacterial small subunit ribosomal RNA", at positions 28 to 523 of the family's 1533-position model. The record is from RNAcentral.
GACGAACGCUGGAGGCGUGCUUAACACAUGCAAGUCGAACGGUAAGGCCCUUCGGGGUACACGAGUGGCGAACGGGUGAGUAACACGUGGGUGAUCUGCCCUGCACUUCGGGAUAAGCCUGGGAAACUGGGUCUAAUACCGGAUAGGACCACUGCCUGCAUGGGUGGUGGUGGAAAGCUUUUGCGGUGUGGGAUGGGCCCGCGGCCUAUCAGCUUGUUGGUGGGGUGAUGGCCUACCAAGGCGACGACGGGUAGCCGGCCUGAGAGGGUGACCGGCCACAAUGGGACUGGGAUACGGCCCAGACUCCUACGGGAGGCAGCAGUGGGGAAUAUUGCACAAUGGGCGCAAGCCUGAUGCAGCGACGCCGCGUGAGGGAUGACGGCCUUCGGGUUGUAAACCUCUUUCAGCACCGACGAAGCGCAAGUGACGGUAGGUGCAGAAGAAGGACCGGCCAACUACGUGCCAGCCGCCGCCGUAA